RNAcentral lists this ribosomal RNA (497 nucleotides) under uncultured bacterium. Its description in RNAcentral is "partial 16S ribosomal RNA". It matches the Rfam family "Bacterial small subunit ribosomal RNA", at positions 28 to 507 of the family's 1533-position model. The record is from RNAcentral.
GAUGAACGCUGGCGGCGUGCCUAAUACAUGCAAGUCGAGCGAACAGACGAGGAGCUUGCUCCUCUUACCUUAGCGGCGGAUGGGUGAGUAACACGUGGCUAACCUCCCUAUAAGACUGGGAUAACUUCGGGAAACCGGACCUAAUACCGGAUAAUAUCUUGAACCGCAUGGUUCAAUAGUGAAAGACGGUUUUGCUGUCACUUAUAGAUGGAUCCGCGCCGCAUGGGCUAGUUGGUAAGGUAACGGCUUACCAAGUCAACGAUGCGUAGCCGACCUGGGAGGGUGGUCGGCCACACUGGAGCGUGGACGCGGACCAUGCGACUAAGAGAGGCAGCAGAAGGGUAUGGUCCGCAAUGGGCGAAAGCAUGACGGAGCAACGCGGCGUGUGUGAUGGAGGUGUUGGGAGCGGAAAACUCGGUUAUGAGGUGUGAACAAAUGUGUGAGGAAAUAUGCACGUAGUGACGGUACCUAAUCAGGAAGCCACGGCUAACUACGUG